GACGAACGCUGGCGGCGUGCUUAACACAUGCAAGUCGAACGGUGAAGCGCCUUCCUUUUUGGUGGGUGUGGAUGAGUGGCGAACGGGUGAGUAACACGUGAGUAACCUGCCCCCUUCUUCUGGAUAACCGCAUGAAAGUGUGGCUAAUACGGGAUAUUCUGGGUCUGUCGCAUGAUGGGUCUGGGAAAGAUCUUGUUUCGGUGGGGGAUGGGCUCGCGGCCUAUCAGCUUGUUGGUGGGGUGAUGGCCUACCAAGGCGGUGACGGGUAGCCGGCCUGAGAGGGUGGACGGUCACACUGGGAAUGAGACACGGCCCAGACUCCUACGGGAGGCAGCAGUGGGGAAUAUUGCACAAUGGGCGCAAGCCUGAUGCAGCGACGCCGCGUGAGGGAUGGAGGCCUGCGGGUUGUGAACCUCUUUCGCCAGUGAAGCAGGCCUGCCUCGUUUGUGGGUGGGUUGACGGUAGCUGGAUAAGAAGCGCCGGCUAACUACGUG
RNAcentral lists this ribosomal RNA (494 nucleotides) under uncultured bacterium. RNAcentral describes it as "partial 16S ribosomal RNA". It matches the Rfam family "Bacterial small subunit ribosomal RNA", at positions 28 to 507 of the family's 1533-position model. The record is from RNAcentral.